AGAAUCAACGCUGGCGGCGUGCCUCAGACAUGCAAGUCGAACGCGAAAGUCCCCUUCGGGGGACAAGUAGAGUGGCGCACGGGUGAGUAACACGUAGGUAAUCUACCUUCGGAUGGGGAAUAACAACCGGAAACGGUUGCUAAUACCGCAUAAUGCAGCGGCACCUAAUGGUGACAGUUGUUAAAGCGGGGGAUCGAAAGACCUCGCGUCUGAAGAGGAGCCUGCGGCGGAUUAGCUAGUUGGUAAGGUAAUGGCUUACCAAGGCUACGAUCC
RNAcentral lists this ribosomal RNA (273 nucleotides) under uncultured bacterium. RNAcentral describes it as "partial small subunit ribosomal RNA". It matches the Rfam family "Bacterial small subunit ribosomal RNA", at positions 26 to 282 of the family's 1533-position model. The record is from RNAcentral. RNAcentral also lists the same sequence under 1 other name.